UUUUGAGAGUAAAUUUGUUAAUACCUGGGGACUACGGAAGAUAAUUUUUAAAAUCCAAAAAGCUUGGCGGUGUCUCAGACUUUUCAGGGGAACUUGUCUCUGAAUCGAUGAUCCACGUGGGACCUUACCCUGUCUUGUAAAACUGCUUGCAUACCGUCGUCGUUAGUCUUUGUCAAUGAAGAUUGUAGAAGAAGGCGGGAGAAAUUAUAAUUUUUUGUGUCAGAUCAGUGUACAGCUAAUGGCGGGGGGGAGGUGAGUUACAAUUAGUAUUUGUAAUUACGGAAACUCUGGGGAAGAAAUAUAAAACUGGAGUUAGAAGGAGGACUUGAAAGUAUGGAUAAUUUAUAAAAAUUUCUUGAACACAGUUAGGACGUGUACAAAUCGCCCGUCGCUCUGGCUGAAAAGCGAGAUAAGUCGUAACAUAGUAGGGGUAGCGGAAGCUGUCCCUGAAAUAA
Molecule: ribosomal RNA, 455 nt
Filed under: Dendropoma rhyssoconchum
Lineage: Eukaryota; Metazoa; Mollusca; Gastropoda; Littorinimorpha; Vermetidae
Description: 12S ribosomal RNA
Rfam family: Bacterial small subunit ribosomal RNA
Source: RNAcentral